CCCGCUGAACUUAAGCAUAUCAAUAAGCGGAGGAAAAGAAACCAACAGGGAUUGUCCUAGUAACGGCGAGUGAAGCGACAACAGCUCAAAUUUGAAAUCUGGCCCCAGGCCCGAGUUGUAAUUUGUAGAGGAUGUUUCUGGCGCGGCGCCUUCCGAGUUCCCUGGAACGGGACGCCACAGAGGGUGAGAGCCCCGUCUGGAUGUGCGCUAAGCCUAUGUGAAACUCCUUCGACGAGUCGAGUAGUUUGGGAAUGCUGCUCAAAAUGGGAGGUAUACGUCUUCUAAAGCUAAAUACCGGCCAGAGACCGAUAGCGCACAAGUAGAGUGAUCGAAAGAUGAAAAGCACUUUGAAAAGAGGGUUAAAUAGUACGUGAAAUUGUUGAAAGGGAAGCAUUUAUGACCAGACUUGGGCCCGGUUAAUCAUCCAGCGUUCUCGCUGGUGCACUUGGCCGGCCCAGGCCAGCAUCAGUUCGCCCCGGGGGAUAAAGGCUUCGGGAAUGUGGCUCCCUAGGGAGUGUUAUAGCCCGCUGCGCAAUAUCCUGGGGCGGACUGAGGUUCGCGCAUCUGCAAGGAUGCUGGCGUAAUGGUCGUCAAUGACCCGUCUUGAAACACGG
RNAcentral lists this ribosomal RNA (614 nucleotides) under uncultured fungus. RNAcentral's name for it is "eukaryotic LSU rRNA". It matches the Rfam family "Eukaryotic large subunit ribosomal RNA", at positions 24 to 664 of the family's 3401-position model. Lineage: Eukaryota; Fungi. The record is from RNAcentral.